AUGGAUAAGGAGUCGAGCACCGACACGAAGCCCAAGAAGACGUUGCUGAUGUUCAGGAGGAGGCAGAAGAUACCCAACUCUGAGUCCUGGGCAGCAGCUGAGGAGGCCGAGGAGCACCAUGACUCCCGUGCAGCCCCUGGCAUGCAGGCAGCAGCAGCAGAGAGCCGGGAAGCAGCUCCACACAGCCCCGGGGCCUGCUGCCCGGCUCUGCUGCAUUCACUGCAGCGCGGCUCCCGGGCCAUCCUCAGCAGGGUGGCGGCCACGAUCCGGCGAUGCAGCCAGCAGCCGGGGACACAGAAAUCCGGGUCACACCUGCAUCGGGCCACGGAGGCAGUGUCAGCAGCAGCAGCUCCUGCAGCAAGGGCAGAGAGAUGGGCACAGGCCUCGCACAGCCCCUGCUGCCCCCUCACUGCCCUGCCCAGCCCGCCGGGAGCUGUCGGGGGGCAGGGGGCAGGAGCAGCAGUGGGGACAGUCCUGGAAACAUCAGGGCAUGAGAAGGUCUGCUUCAGCCUGGAGCCAGACUGGGAAUGGGACAGCCCCAGAGAGCUGUCCCAGGAGGAAUACGACCCAGAGCAGGGCUGCAGCAGUGGAGAAGUGAGAUCCCCUGUGAGGCCACACGAGGCCUGGGCAGAGCACUGGAACCUUCCCUCAUGCUCAGCUGCAGGCCAAGCCUCAGCUUCGCCCGGCAGAGCCCUUCCCAGCUGGGAAGAGGACUCCAUUUCAGAAACAAUGCUGGCUGGCUUGCCCCCCAGCCCCUCACCCAGGCAGGUGGAGGCUCGCAGGCAGUGGGCAAUAGCAGCAGCGAGGAUACUCCUGCCAGGGCUGCAGAACGUGGAGGAGGACGCCUCAGAGGAGGGAGAAGCCAGCAGCAGCGGGGAUGAGAGCGACUACAUGUCCUGUAAUUAUGAACCGAGUCACCUGGAGCCUUGCAAAGGCAGAGGACUCUUAGAGCUUUCUCCUCAAACCAGAGAUGAGCCAGCUGCCAAAUGGGAAGACAGGAGCACGGAAGAGCUGUCAGAUAAGAGGAAUGUCAUCACUAUCCACACUAUCUGGGUAAACCCUCGCUACCCACAGCUCCUGAUGGACCCUGACUUGCUGCUAGAAGAAGAGGAAGAUGCUGAGCUGCCCAGCACAUCUCAUGCCCUGGCAGCUCCCGGGGACACCCAGCCAGCAGGUGCUGCCCCAGCUGGAGGUUCUGAGGACAAGGAGCACCCUGUGCACACCACUGCUCAGCCAUAA
RNAcentral lists this long non-coding RNA (1239 nucleotides) under Cyanistes caeruleus (blue tit). RNAcentral's name for it is "lncRNA (ENSCCEG00000021775.1)". Lineage: Eukaryota; Metazoa; Chordata; Aves; Passeriformes; Paridae. The record is from RNAcentral.